This is a long non-coding RNA of Hyaena hyaena (striped hyena), 334 nucleotides long. RefSeq lists it as uncharacterized. The transcript is spliced from 3 exons. Lineage: Eukaryota; Metazoa; Chordata; Mammalia; Carnivora; Hyaenidae. The record is from RefSeq and is a predicted model, not a curated record.
GAAACAGAAAUAAAUGUUUCCUUAUCAGAAGUUGAAGAUCACUCAAUUUUACCACCCACGAUAGCAUGGAAUGAAGACGAUGACACAUUUCAAGGAAAAUUGGACUGCUUUGGAAAAAGCUGUUACCAUUUUUCAAAAGAAGAGAAAACUUGGGAGGAGAGUAGGGUAUCAUGCCAAGAUCUGCAGUCUAGUCUCGUGAAGAUUGAUAAUAAAGAGGAGCAGAUCUUUCUUCAAUCAAAAAUACAAUACAGUUAUUGGAUUGGAUUAAGUAGGUUUCAAGGGGGCAAGUACCUCUGGAAGUGGCUGGAUGGCUCACACCCAAGUACAAACCUGU